RNAcentral lists this long non-coding RNA (269 nucleotides) under Ricinus communis (castor bean). RNAcentral's name for it is "long non-coding RNA (RCOM_LNC003337)". Lineage: Eukaryota; Viridiplantae; Streptophyta; Magnoliopsida; Malpighiales; Euphorbiaceae. The record is from RNAcentral.
UCUAAAAUUAUAAGAUAAUUUUUAAAGUUCAAAAAAAAUUAUAUCAAGGCAAAAAUUUGAAAUCCUCCGCAUCGGAAAAUCAUAGGAGGCCAAAAACCAGUACGGGCAACGGUGUCGGAUUUUAAAUCCAGAAGUGCCUACGCCAAACUUGAGUUGCAGGAUUCCGAAAAUGCAAAUGUUCUGGCCGGAAGCUCGCCGGAAGCCACCGGAUUGAGGCUGGAAAUUCUCUGAUCUGGCGAGGCUGAACACUGCUGCCGGCGGGGAANNNN